This is a long non-coding RNA of Rhinichthys klamathensis goyatoka, 838 nucleotides long. RefSeq lists it as uncharacterized. The transcript has 4 exons. The record is from RefSeq and is a predicted model, not a curated record. NCBI's taxonomy places the organism in Eukaryota, Metazoa, Chordata, Actinopteri, Cypriniformes, Leuciscidae.
UUUUUAGUACAUAACAUAUGUAUAAAUAAUAUAUAUAUUUUAAAUUCUUGUAUUUAUUUUUAUAGGAACACAGACAGAGGUGUCAUGUAAAAGUGUAGGCGCUCCAUUCACAACUUCAACACCUUUGAAGGAUUUUAGGCCAGCAAAAAAAGCUUGUCUAGAACUGGAGGAGGAGAAAAGUCUUUCUUUUGAAGUCUUUGAUAGUCAGGACACAACAUAUGAGCCAGCUGAGUCUGUCACGACUGUCACAGAGUCAUCACAACUUCUAUGUACAUCGAUAGAGCAGGAUACAAAAUACAUUGUAUUUGAAAAGUGCCUCUUGUAACUUUUUGAAACCUGCCCAGUGUGCACGAGAUGCUGUGACGUUCGGCCUCGAAGAAAAGGUUCUUUUGUUGCAAUUGAUCAAUUGUGCCCACAUUGUCAAUACUUUAGAAAAUGGCAAAGCCAACCUGUUGUUGGCAGCACAUCUUUGAGCAACCUCCAGUUAUCUGCUGCCAUAUACUUCACUGGCGCAUCCUUCUUCAAAUUACAAAAGGUAUUCAACGCAAUGCAUGUCAAGAUGAUUACACACAGAACUUUUCGAAAGCAUGCCAGCAUGUAUCUGGAACCUGCAAUAAUCUAUACGUGGAAGAAAGAACAAGAAGAAGUCUUGCGCCAGCUAAGCCAGGGGGACAAAGUGAUAGCGGGUGGUGAUAUGAGAGCGGACUCACCAGGCCACUCAGCAAAGUAUGGUGCAUAUACCUUAAUGGACCUUGCGAGCAACAUCAUGUUGGACAUACAGCUAGUGCAGGUGAGUACCAAUACAUCAAUAAACUAAAUUCAACUGCACUAACUACAU